GGCGCGGUCGAGGACGAGGUGGACGAAGAGCUGGUGCUCGUGGAGGUCGGCGGCCAGCGUGCGCCGCCCGGACGCGCGCAGGCGGACGGCGCCGUGGCAGGUGGAGGCCGUGAAGGCGAAGGCGACGCCGUCGGGGUGGGUCGUCCGCAUGGGGUCUCCAGCUCCGUCGCCGUCGUCGUCGCCGGGACCUCGAGCGUAGGACGAGAGAGUGGCUGGCUACGCUACGUUUUGAUGGGGAGGGGCUCGCGGCAUCGUCCAGCGAUUAAUUAGUUGGCGAGAUGCGGAAAGGAGUUAUGGUCGGCGUAGGAUUCUGUUUUCUAAAAGGUUUUUGGUUUGGGACCCCGGGCGCGCGCGCGGAUACGCGGCAUUGUUUAUUGACUGACGUGCUGUUCUCACUUGAUUUCCUUGCGCUUUCUGUGAAUCUCUC
Molecule: long non-coding RNA, 427 nt
Filed under: Hordeum vulgare
Lineage: Eukaryota; Viridiplantae; Streptophyta; Magnoliopsida; Poales; Poaceae
Description: long non-coding RNA (HVUL_LNC004960)
Source: RNAcentral